UCGAGGAACCUGUGUUAAGAAUUCAAACUCAUUAAAGCCCCACACCAUACCCGUGAAUAUUUUGGAGCCGAGGAGAGUUUAUAUUAAAGAUUUCCACAAAAGAAAACAAGAAGAAAGGAUUUUAGCGACAAGCCUUUACUUUAGAAAAGCAGUUUUUAAUACCCCAGCUACUAAUCCCACGCCAAGGACCGCGCGGCGCGGAAACCCUGGCGAAUUUGAAAACAAACGUUGGUAAAGGCUGGGGGUGAAGGGCGGGGGUGGGGAAGGGAGAGCCGGGUAAGGGGGUUAGUAACUGACAGCUCGGCCUCGAAACGAGAAGCCUCAAGUAGGUCAGGCUGUGUCAACGGUUUGAAAUCCAGGGUCCACCCCAGUGGGCUUAAGGGAGUAGAGCAGCAGGAGGAGAUCGGCAGCGUAGCCCCACGCACCCCAUAUCCCAUUUACUUGUGACAAUGGAUCAUUAGACCCAGGGGCUCAAAACCCCCAACAGAGAACAAAACAGAGCUGAAGUAGGACGGAAGAACUGAUCCACCUCACCAGAAAAGGAGGAGCCUUGAGAAUAGACAGCAAAAGGGUAUAAAAGAGAACGUAUGGCCAUGGGGGUGGGUGGAAGUUGAGGGAGAAAGGGUUGGUCAAAGGCAGAACGCAUUUCUCUGCCAACCGCAACGCUGGGAUAUGCAUUCACAGUAAUAAGAGAAAUCGGGGGAAAGUUGCUAAGAGAACAAGAAACAGGGCCAGCAUCCCUCCUGGGCCCUGAUUGGUUGAAACACAUGACCAACCAGAUUCUGUGUAAGCUUGAUAAGCUUAUACCCAUGGACAAAUACUUGAGGCGGGCACAGUGGAACAUUUCUCUAGAAGCCUCCUACCGUCUUAAUGUGCAUGCUUUGCUAGAGGGAGAAACAAUCUUAACCUGACAAUAGCAAGGCCUCCGGGAUCCUAGCAGAUGAAAAUACCUUUGGAAACUUCCCCUUGCCUUUACCUCCCCCAACUCCCAAGUAUAUAAUCAGUCACUCCUCACAAUCCCAGGGUAGCUCUUUCUGUCCACGGGCCC
This is a long non-coding RNA of Herpailurus yagouaroundi (jaguarundi), 1048 nucleotides long. RefSeq lists it as uncharacterized. Lineage: Eukaryota; Metazoa; Chordata; Mammalia; Carnivora; Felidae. The record is from RefSeq and is a predicted model, not a curated record. The transcript is spliced from 4 exons.